CCUACGGGGGGCUGCAGUCGGGAAUCUUGCACAAUGGGCGAAAGCCUGAUGCAGCAACGCCGUGUGAGCGACGAAGGCCCUAGGGUCGUAAAGCUCUGUUGUUAGGGACGAAGGGCGAAGGGUUAAUAGCCCUUAGCCUGACGGUACCUUUCGAGGAAGCCCCGGCUAACUACGUGCCAGCAGCCGCGGUAAUACGUAGGGGGCGAGCGUUGUCCGGAAUUAUUGGGCGUAAAGGGCGCGUAGGCGGCCCGGUAAGUCUGCUGUGAAACCCUGGG
This 275-nucleotide ribosomal RNA is filed under the name uncultured Rubrobacter sp. RNAcentral's name for it is "partial 16S ribosomal RNA". It matches the Rfam family "Bacterial small subunit ribosomal RNA", at positions 338 to 606 of the family's 1533-position model. The record is from RNAcentral. Lineage: Bacteria; Bacillati; Actinomycetota; Rubrobacteria; Rubrobacterales; Rubrobacteraceae.